This 121-nucleotide ribosomal RNA is filed under the name uncultured marine group II/III euryarchaeote SAT1000_51_E07. Lineage: Archaea; Methanobacteriati; Methanobacteriota. The record is from RNAcentral.
GCACGGCCACAGCGGAGGGGUUCUACCCGGUCCCAUACCGAACCCGGAAGUCAAGCCCUCCUGCGUCGAUUCCUGUACUGUGGCGCGAGAGCCCACGGAAACGUUCGUCGCUGUGCCACUC